This 30-nucleotide non-coding RNA is filed under the name Mus musculus (house mouse). The record is from RNAcentral. Lineage: Eukaryota; Metazoa; Chordata; Mammalia; Rodentia; Muridae.
UCACUCCAUUGGUCAGGCUGACAUCGAACC